Molecule: ribosomal RNA, 110 nt
Filed under: uncultured bacterium
Lineage: Bacteria
Description: partial 16S ribosomal RNA
Rfam family: Bacterial small subunit ribosomal RNA
Source: RNAcentral
AAGAAGGCCUUCGGGUUGUAAAGCACUUUUGUCCGGAAAGAAAUCCUUUUGAGCUAAUACCUCGGGGGGGAUGACGGUACCGGAAGAAUAAGCACCGGCUAACUACGUGC